Non-coding RNA from Arachis ipaensis, 369 nucleotides. The record is from RefSeq and is a predicted model, not a curated record. Lineage: Eukaryota; Viridiplantae; Streptophyta; Magnoliopsida; Fabales; Fabaceae.
GGUGUUGUUGCUGUAGGAGACUGUCGUCAAAGUUGCUGCUCCACUUCCGUCAUUCUUCCCUUCACAGUCAAUUUUAUGGGGUUGCAUGUCAAAAUUGAGGUUGUUGCUGAACCAUCAGAGUUUUCGGCCAGUAUCGAAGCUGCUGUCCGGUCAAUUUGGAAGCUGUUAUUGUGUCGUUCUAUUUUGUUUAUCAUGAUAUGUGGUUGUUGCCGUGAUCCGUGCGGUUGCUUGAGAAUUUCUACGGUUGCUGCCAAUUAACAUGAGAAUAAGGAUUUAAUGGGUUUAAUUAGGCAACUUGCGACUAAUCGAGGUAGGAUUUUUCUUAAAAUCUAUUUUAUAUUACAGAGUUAUGAUAAAUAGAUAUCGAUG